This 782-nucleotide ribosomal RNA is filed under the name uncultured bacterium. Its description in RNAcentral is "bacterial SSU rRNA". It matches the Rfam family "Bacterial small subunit ribosomal RNA", at positions 712 to 1504 of the family's 1533-position model. The record is from RNAcentral.
AUUGCGAAGGCAGCUUGCGGGAGCACAACUGACGCUGAAGCUCGAAAGUGCGGGUAUCGAACAGGAUUAGAUACCCUGGUAGUCCGCACGGUAAACGAUGGAUGCCCGUUGUCAGGCUGUUUCAGCCUGGUGACCAAGCGAAAGCAUUAAGCAUCCCACCUGGGGAGUACGCCGGCAACGGUGAAACUCAAAGGAAUUGACGGGGGCCCGCACAAGCGGAGGAACAUGUGGUUUAAUUUCGAUGAUACGCGAGGAACCUUACCCGGGCUUGAAUUGCAGAUGAACGAUCCAGAGAUGGUGAGGCCCUUCGGGGCAUCUGUGAAGGUGCUGCAUGGUUGUCGUCAGCUCGUGCCGUGAGGUGUCGGCUUAAGUGCCAUAACGAGCGCAACCCCUGUUCUUAGUUGCCAUCAGGUGAUGCUGGGCACUCUGUAGAUACUGCCACCGCAAGGUGUGAGGAAGGUGGGGAUGACGUCAAAUCAGCACGGCCCUUACGUCCGGGGCUACACACGUGUUACAAUGGCCGGUACAGAGAGUUGAUUUUGUGCAAACACGAUCUAAUCCUUAAAUCCGGUCCCAGUUCGGACUGGGGUCUGCAACCCGACCCCACGAAGCUGGAUUCGCUAGUAAUCGCGCAUCAGCCAUGGCGCGGUGAAUACGUUCCCGGGCCUCGUACACACCGCCCGUCAAGCCAUGAAAGCCGAGGGUGCCUGAAGUCCGUGACCGCAAGGAUCGGCCUAGGGCAAAAUCGGUAAUUGGGGCUAAGUCGUAACAAGGUAGCCGUA